UGACAUCAGCUCACACUGUUCCAAAUAGAAAGUGGGAAAAAUAAGAGCUGGUGUCUUUGGGCUGCCAACUUUGCACUUUCUUUCUUACUGAAAUCACUAGCUACCUGUCUCUUCACCUGUCUUGACAAUCAAAGAGCUCUUGAAGAGCCUUUCAAUUCACAUGUAAUGCUCCUUUUAUCAUACAUAAACAAAGAGAAAUUGCUUGAAAAAAUCAGAAAUCUUACCUAUCAUGCACUUAAGUUCAUGUCUCUGGACCUAUCAGAAGACCCUUAUCUCCUCAGACCGUUUCUGGUACUAGGAUUCACUGCUAUCUUAAUCAGGUAAGGGGGGCUGGGUGAUGCUAUAGUAUCUUCCUGCUAAAAUAGUGCCUUGAAGAUGUUUUCAACUCCACACAAAGAAACCUGGAUCUUUCUGCAUGGUUUUAAUUUGCAUGUUGUUUUGUUUGACAGAUCAGAAGACAAAGGCAGACAGCAAAUGUUUUGCUUUUCAUAGUUUAUUGUAUUUCAGAGUAUCAAUAGAGUAAUUUGCUAUCUUUCCAACUUUUCCUUGAACAACUUAGUAUCUCUUAUAUCAUUCUUCUUCCUUAAACAAUAUUUCUGAAAUUAUGUUAACUCAUAAAACUAGAGAUGACAAGAACUAAGAGUGAUUCAGAGGUCAAGCUUCUGUUCUUCUAUUCUGUUCACCCACAUCUAAGCAGAUCAUUCAGACAGAGAAAUCAAAUGUGUCUAAAAUCCUGGAUGCCUCGUGCUGGCUCCAGCAAUGAGCAUGGACAGCUACACCUGCCCAGUGGUACAGCUAGCUUUGGAUGCACCAUGGCUAAGGGGACACAACCUGGGAGAGACUGAGGAUGAUCCAUAUGAAUAUAGCAGUGGUUAAACAGACUUUUCAUUUUGAGCACAUACUGAAAACUCCACUUGUCUCACUGAGAUACUCUGAACAAAAGGCUUUGUUCAAAGAUAAGAUAGAUAUAAGUGUUGCAAGCUCUCAGAGACAAAUGUCUGACCAGCUGCAACCUAAUUCAUCACCUGUUAAGCAACGAUGGUAAACACCAGGUCUUUCCAUCAAAGCCCCAGCGUUACUUGCUAGGAUCUGCAUGAGCCACUGUGCAUCAGAGUUCAGGACAGAGAACAGAAACCCCUGAAGAACAGAAUAGGUCCCCACUGUGUAACAUUUGAUAGGCAAAACUGUAUAGACCAGGUGAGUAAAGCCAUGUUUCUCAUGCAUCUCUCACAGAAGAUGUCUGACUUGUACACAUCAUGAAGCAACCACUCAAGUGAAGCAAGGUCCUAAUGAAUGUCCUUCACUAACUACUGGGGAUCUGGGAAGUCAGAAAAGAAGGCAAUUUGAGAGAAAUAUUGCUUUGGGAAAAACAGGGAUGGCGUAAUUCAUUUCUGUAGUGAGAAAAUGCAGCUGUUAGCAUCUUUUGCCUUCCCUUGAGUCACUGCGACGUUCUGUGCAUUCUGGUCAAAGUUCAUGGAAACUGAUACAUUUCUGGAAGUGUUUUGAUCGACUGGCACUUUAUGAUGCGAAAAAUAUAAUUAAUUUUAAGGUGCUGUAAAAACUUGCGACAAAUACUUUUUCUUUACGUAUAUAUAAUGGGGAUUUUAUUAUGUAUUUUAUUGUUAUUUAGAAACAAUAGCGAAAUUUAAAUAUUUUCAAUUGAGAGUUCUGGCUUCCCACACUUUCUAUUUAGAUCCAGUCUACCACAGAGCAAUUCUCUCACACACUGUACUUGAUCCUGUUUGCUUUAUUUAGAUUAAGAAGCAGGCAACUCGACUCUACUUCUAGCUGAUGGCAAGCAUCAUCUGCAUGCUUUGCUUUACUGUCAUGCACGGUGACUGUUAAUAAACCUUUCCCUGCCACAGCA
Molecule: long non-coding RNA, 1867 nt
Organism: Coturnix japonica (Japanese quail)
Lineage: Eukaryota; Metazoa; Chordata; Aves; Galliformes; Phasianidae
Source: Ensembl